UGGGGAAUAUUGCGCAAUGGGGGAAACCCUGACGCAGCGACGCCGCGUGAGCGAAGAAGGCCUUAGGGUUGUAAAGCUCUGUUUUAGGGGACGAAUGUCCAGAUCAGUAAUAUGGGUUUGGAAUGACGGUACCCUAAGAGGAAGCCCCGGCUAACUACGUGCCAGCAGCCGCGGUAAGACGUAGGGGGCGAGCGUUGUCCGGAAUUACUGGGCGUAAAGAGCACGUAGGCGGAUAUUUAAGUCAGGUGUGAAAGACCGGGGCUCAACCCCGGGGUGGCACUUGAAACUGGAUAUCUUGAGGGCAGGAGAGGGAAGCAGAAUUCCUGGUGUAGCGGUGAAAUGCGUAGAAAUCAGGAGGAAUACCAGUGGCGAAGGCGGCUUUCUGGACUGUCCCUGACGCUGAGGUGCGAAAGCGUGGGUAGCAAACAGG
Molecule: ribosomal RNA, 430 nt
Filed under: uncultured prokaryote
Also listed under: 1 other name
Description: bacterial SSU rRNA
Rfam family: Bacterial small subunit ribosomal RNA
Source: RNAcentral